RNAcentral lists this unclassified non-coding RNA (306 nucleotides) under plant metagenome. Its description in RNAcentral is "partial contains 5.8S ribosomal RNA, internal transcribed spacer 2, and large subunit ribosomal RNA". The stretch from base 1 to 105 matches the Rfam family "5.8S ribosomal RNA", at positions 50 to 154 of the family's 154-position model. The record is from RNAcentral.
GAAAUGCGAUAAGUAAUGUGAAUUGCAGAAUUCAGUGAAUCAUCGAAUCUUUGAACGCACAUUGCGCCCGCCAGUAUUCUGGCGGGCAUGCCUGUCCGAGCGUCAUUUCAACCAUCAAGCCCCCGGGCUUGUGUUGGGGACCUGCGGCUGCCCGCAGGCCCCGAAAACCAGUGGCGGGCUCGCUGUCACACCGAGCGUAGUAGCAAUCACCUCGCUCAGGGCGUGCUGCGGGUCCCGGCCGUUAAACAGCCUUACAAAACCCAAGGUUGACCUCGGAUCAGGUAGGAAGACCCGCUGAACUUAAGC